AAUUUGUACUAUUUUAAUCUCAUUGUUAUUCGACUCAUUAUAGAUUUCAUUAUAUAGAUUAUUGUUAUUAAGAGGAGGACGUAUAUUAAAUUGAAUUGGUUUGUUACAAUGUUUGAGAGAUGCUUUGCUUUUCUAGAAGUGAAACUGGAAAUAUCCUUGCGUUUAAAGAAAGAAAAAGAAAGAACAACUAUCCUUACUUAAUUAAUCAUUACUUCCAUCCGCUAAUGCACAGUUUUAAGUUUAUUUUGAAUAUUAAAACUAAAGAAAAUGAAAUCAAAAAACUCAGGGAAUUUCCGUUUGAGAAACAAAAACUAUGAUUGUAUUAUCGCUGAAAUAAGCAAAACCAAAACGUAAAUUCGAAUACACGAAUGGAAAGCGCGAGGAAAGGACUACAUUUAUUUUUAUGAUUGACGAUAUAUCAGCGAGUUUAAAUUUUCAAAAAGAACCAAGUAGAUUAAAGAAUUGUUUGGCAAAGUGUAGGAAAACUGUAAAUUUAUAAAAUAUAAAAUUGUAUAAACUUUAGUGCACAAUAAUCUUCGAUCAAUAGUAUCUCGUUUCAAAUAUAUCUCCCUCCUUUGCAUGAUUUACAUGUAUGCAAUGCGAUUUAUAACUGUACGUAAGUAUAAACAUUAUAUUUCAGUGCCUUCUCAGGCAAAAAAGCGUGCCUUAUUAUAUGGGUCUCUGGUAAAGAAUUUCAUUGGAAUAUAUGAGUGAAUACGACGAGCAUUUAGCGUUAACGGAUCUUUGGACGAAAUUAAUUAUGCUUAAAGCAUUGCAAAUUAAUACUGAAUGUGUUUUAAGAAACUAGAGAUAAACAUCGAUUACUAGGCUUCAAUAAUUCCUUGAUAAUUGAAAGAUAUAUAAGACAUCAACGGAAAAGACAGAUAUGUAAGAAAGCGUGAAAAAUUUCAACGAUCAAUCCAAUUGUUUAUCUUGAGAAUUUUGAACAGAUAUGACGCCGAAUU
Long non-coding RNA from Trachymyrmex cornetzi, 965 nucleotides. RefSeq lists it as uncharacterized. The transcript is spliced from 2 exons. The record is from RefSeq and is a predicted model, not a curated record. Lineage: Eukaryota; Metazoa; Arthropoda; Insecta; Hymenoptera; Formicidae.